Molecule: small nucleolar RNA, 136 nt
Organism: Ornithorhynchus anatinus (platypus)
Lineage: Eukaryota; Metazoa; Chordata; Mammalia; Monotremata; Ornithorhynchidae
Source: RefSeq, a predicted model, not a curated record
ACCCUCUUAGGGUCACACCGGAGAGUUUGCAGUCCUCUUCCAGUCUCGGCUACAGGAGGGAGAGUCAAGCAGAGCCUACCCAUUCCAUUCCUAGCUUGGGCAGUGACUAGUGAGUGGAAGGCAAUCUGCUACAAGU